CUAUACAAAAAAGCACAAAGUAUGUGCUUCACAAGGGACUGGGUUGGGAGAAUAAGAAGUGCCAAUUCCUGGACCCUGGCCCAGCCCUGAGGAUGGGCAUCUGACUGAGCCCUUUGCAGAGUGAGGCUGCAAGCAGAAGCUGAAGGAGCCGUUUUUCUCAAGGGCCCUGUGGAUGUGGAGAAGCCUGCAGGGAUGCUUGGGGGUUCAGAUGACUGCAUGGCACAGAGCCUCCCACAGCUCUGAAGAGCAGUAAGCCAGGUACUGGACAACUAAGCACUGCAGAAAGACCCAGUUGGUCUGGUCCCUCAGGGCAGCAGCUCUGGGGGGCACCGCCACAGCUUUUCACUGUGGAGAUCAGCAGCAGCAGCUAUGGCAGCAUCCUGACCUCACAGGCCUUCCUGCCUUGCAUGGAGGAGCCAGGCAGGAGAGGAGCAAGACCUGUAGAAGCCUGGGUGAUAGAAGACUACUUGUGAGCUGGUGUGAGUCACGCUCAGCAAAGGGGGAAGAAGCAGUAAAAUGGGGUUAGAAUCAUUCCUGGGACUCUGUUUGUAACCAAGGGUUCUAGGGAAGACUGGUUACAGAAGUGAUCUUGGUGUUGAGCACUUAAAGGCCCAAGAUGGACCGGUUCUAUGAAGGUCGGCAGCAUGAGUAUGGUGUCACGACUCAGACAGGAUGAGAGUCAUCAUUGGAUCCCUGGGCCUCUCACCCAGGACCCCAGGUGCCUACCUUUGAAGCUUUCAUCUUCACUCCUGACUGACUGAUUGGGGCUCCAUUGGUGAGCCCGACUCCUGAUCCAAUCCAGGCCUCCAGAUGACAGUCUGUUGAAGAAUGGGCAGCACAGAUUGUGAUUCUUGAGAUUCUGAGUAUACUCUUGAAGCUGGGUUAGUGUCCUAGGCUUCUCUGCUUGUAAGAACUGGGCUAUAAUCCCAGGCAAACAAAAGGCUGGGUUGGAAUCUCAGGUUUCUCUGUAAGAAAGAGGCUGAGUUAGAUUCCCAGGCUUUCCUGUUUUAAGACAUAGAGUUGGGAUUAGAGUGCCAGGCUCCAUUGUUUGUGAGGUAUCAUGAGUUAUGAACAUGGCAGCUUCUCAGUUGACUGAACCUCACCCCAACCUCCUUCUGAAACCCCUGCUGACUAUGUGCUCCACCACCUAGGCACUAACUCUGUCUGCUUCCCUUCUUGUUGAUAUGAUCUUACAAAGGAUAAUUUGGGACUUCCCUAAAGUGGCAUCUCUAAGAUCUCUCUCUUCCUUUUGCCUCCAUUCCUCCUUCCAUUUUUGAUAUGCCCUCCUUUAAACCCCCACCUCCUCCACAUUUUUGUUCAGCCCUGCCAGACUUUUCCCUUCCCACUCCAGGCUCUCAACUACCUACACUCACUGGAGCCCCGUUGGAGACUCUAUGGGACUCAAGAGCCUCCAAAAGCAACUACAAUAUCUUAAAAAUGUCCUCCAUAAUAUUGGUAAAAAAUAUUUUUGCUCUCACAUUGGUCAGGUAGCAACUUGUUCCAUUCACCAAAAACACAAUUUGGAUAAAAAAAUUAAAGUGCAGUAAAGACGAGAGCCAACCAUUUCAUAUAAACCAGAGUUCUGUAUUACUGUGUUUACCUGACUCAUGGCUACAAUUUUAAAAUGGAAGCUAUAAGGUCUCCAUUUGCAUCUAUCUGUAUGUUUAUGUAUGUACAUAUGUAUGUUAUGUAUAUGUGAUACUUUCCUAUCUUCUGAUGGUAUUACCCAAUUAAUUUAUAAAACCCUAUAAAGAAGCUCUAUUCUGACAGGCUUAGGGACAAAUUGCUUAUAUCAAUUAAAUAUUUAUAAAGCUCUCAGAAAUAUAGGAAUUAACCCCAAUUUUUUUUAAGUUCAUGUGACUUUGGGAAAUAUUUGUUAGAUAAAACCAGUUUAAAAUUGUUGAUUGAAUAAAACAGCUGUCUUCUGAGUUAUCACAUGUAUUAAAUUCAUGUGAGUGGAAUCAAAAUUUUAUAAAUGAACUUUUUGACAAUAAUUAUGUUUUAUAAUAUCUGCCUAAAAAUGCUUUCCACAAUCUUUUUGGUAACUUGCAAUCUUAAAAUUAUGCUAAGUAAUACAUAUUCAUUAACUAUCUAGAUUAUUUCUAAGUCAGAUAAACCACUGAAAAUUUAUUUUUAAGCAUAAGUUUAAUUUUAUAUACUUUUGGCUUCUUAUUUUUAUAUCAUAUAGAGAGGCUACAUAUAUUUAGGUCUGUUACUAAACAUUCUUUUUGCCACAUUAAAACAAUUGUAUUACGAGGAAGCACAUACCUAUAAAAAUUGUGAGAUGGUAUAUUCAUAAAAUUUGCUGAUCUGCUACAGAAUGUUGGUACUUGACAGACAACUCACAAUUGUCUAUAACCUAGUUUUUUCUGUUACCAAAAAAAGAGGUUACUUAUGGUUAAAAAUUUUAAUCAACAUAUGUAAAUAAAGCUACUAGAACUAAUAAAGAUAAAGGGAAAUGACUUGCAAGCACAAUUUGCAAAGCAGGAAGAAUGUGUUUUUGUAUGGGAAAAAUAAAAAUAACUGUCUUAAAGUGAAA
Non-coding RNA from Homo sapiens (human), 2539 nucleotides. NCBI's taxonomy places the organism in Eukaryota, Metazoa, Chordata, Mammalia, Primates, Hominidae. The record is from RefSeq and is a predicted model, not a curated record.